GAAAAGAAAAAAAAGGGCAAAACGAAGAAAUUGUAAAAAUGUUGGUAGUUUAACUUCACUUGAGCUAGAAUGCAGUAUCAUAUGCGUUUACUUCAGGGUCCUUUCAUCUCUGAGCACAGAACCCACUGUAUUUAAUAUCGAAAUUGCUUCCCUGGAAAUGUUUUUCAACGUUUUAUUAUGUUAAAUGUGUUACCAUGGCAUGCUGCUGUUGUGAGGUUGAGUUGGAAUAUAGUGAUAUGUGUGAGGACACUAAUUUUUGGCUUUUUGUGGAAAAUGAAAUAUUGUACAGCUCUUGGAUUUAUCGGAAAAGCAGGAGAGACAUUUUAGUUUUCUUUCAUUAGUGGGCCGGUGGAAAAUUAGCAAGCACUGCUUUCUAUGCUUGCAGUGAAACUAUGCUUGCUUAUAUUUUCUGUGUUGUCAG
This 421-nucleotide unclassified non-coding RNA is filed under the name Hevea brasiliensis (rubber tree). Lineage: Eukaryota; Viridiplantae; Streptophyta; Magnoliopsida; Malpighiales; Euphorbiaceae. The record is from RNAcentral.